Molecule: long non-coding RNA, 774 nt
Filed under: Populus trichocarpa (black cottonwood)
Lineage: Eukaryota; Viridiplantae; Streptophyta; Magnoliopsida; Malpighiales; Salicaceae
Description: long non-coding RNA (PTRI_LNC000606)
Source: RNAcentral
UUCACUUACCAAACUGUCAACCAUGCCCGCAGCCUAGCUGUUCAUCACCCGCGCGCGUGUAAAAAUUGUUUUUUUAAAUAUAUAUUUUUAUUUUAACAUUAUUAUAAUUCAAAAACAUCUAAAAGGUAAUUAAUCUAAUAAAGAAAAUUAAAACUUUUGCCGCACAAACAAAUACUAUUAACUUGUUUUAUGAGAUGCAGCACUGUUCACUCCAUACAUCUCCUUUUCUUUUAUCUUACCGGAUGCUCAACAUCGAUCGAUGAACACGUUACACAGAUUCAAUAGUAUUGUUUCUUUUUUCUUCAGAAAAAGAAAAAGAAAUAGAAAAACCUCUUUUAAUUAAUUUGGUAGCCAUUCCAUCAUCUUAAUUAAUUAAGACAUGUGAUCCAAAUGACAUGAUCCUUCAUUAUCUUUAUUACCUUUGCUUAUUUAUUUUGUCUGAUCUUCCUUUAUGGUGCUACGGCCCCUCAAAUUUUAAAAACUGAUGGCCAUGCCUGCACUGCACUUAACCCUCUUCUGCUCUCUCCACAGCACCACCACCUGCAAAUAACUUGUCUUUUGCUUCUUCUGUCUGUCUCACCUGCACUUCAAAACUAAGGAUCCGGAAAAGAAAAGAAAUCAAUAAAACAUCCUGAUAAUAACUCUUAGUUUAUGAGCUUACUAACAUAGGCAACCUUUUCUUUUCUUUCUCGGUUAGUUCUUGCCAGUGUUGCAAAUCAGAGCAUGUCAAGGUGUUUCAGUUUCACAGGGACCAAAAACUGGUGCUUCAGGUCC